Long non-coding RNA from Oncorhynchus keta (chum salmon), 402 nucleotides. RefSeq lists it as uncharacterized. The transcript has 5 exons. The record is from RefSeq and is a predicted model, not a curated record. NCBI's taxonomy places the organism in Eukaryota, Metazoa, Chordata, Actinopteri, Salmoniformes, Salmonidae.
CUGCCAUUCUCAGUAGUUUCCCAACAAGGUUGUCUAAACUUGGUGGUAAUACAGUCUGCUGCCAUUCUCAGUAGUUUCCCAACAAGGUUGUCUGUACCUGGUGGUAAUACAGUCUGCUGCCAUUCUCAGUAGUUUCCCAACAAGGUUGUCUAAACUUGGUGGUAAUACAGUCUGCUGCCAUUCUCAGUAGUUUCCCAACAAGGUUGUCUAAACUUGGUGGUAAUACAGUCUGCUGCCAUUCUCAGUAGUUUCCCAACAAGGUUGUCUAAACUUGGUGGUAAUACAGUCUGCUGCCAUUCUCAGUAGUUUCCCAACAAGGUUGUCUGUACCUGGUGGUAAUAGUCUGCUGCCAUUCUCAGUAGUUUCCCAACAAGGUUGUCUGUACCUGGUGGUAAUAGUCUG